This is a long non-coding RNA of Gallus gallus (chicken), 1363 nucleotides long. Lineage: Eukaryota; Metazoa; Chordata; Aves; Galliformes; Phasianidae. The record is from Ensembl.
GUAUGUGUUUACAUAGGUUUAUUUUAAGUACUCCUGUCUCUGGAUGGUAGUAUGCCACUGUUUGUAGCUAAACCAGUCACUGCCAUGAAUGAAAAUACAUACAUGGGCUGUCUGUGACAUAAAUUUUCUUUUCAUGGGGUGAAUGAUUUCCUACUGUAGCUGUUUUAUAAUACGGAGCACAUGCACGUGUUGGAGGAGGUUGGUGUGCAGAGUUCUGUGUCAAUAGAAGUUUGAAUCAAACGCCCUUUGCUCCUACGUGGGGCUCUUCUCUGUCUUUCUUGAGUGAUACAGGCACUGUAAACUCACUCAAAUAAAACCUGAUCUGAGCACUACCUUUCUGACAUGUAUCCAUUCAUUCUCUUCUUAUUUAGCAGAGAGGAUACUCCAUUAAUACCUUCAGCUCAGGAGUGUAUUUGUGCAGCAAAAUAAAGCAUGCUGUUUCAUGGCAGCUGCUUUUAUGUUUUCUGAGCGAUGGAUGUAUUUACUACACCCUCAGUACCUCUGCACAGAAAACUGAACUGCUACCUAGAGCUGAGCAGUGCAAGAAGACCCUGUUGGAGAGCUGUGCUGUGCCUGCAGGCCUCAACCUGAAUUCCCAGCACAUCUCAUGGAAAUCGGAUUGAAAGCUGACGGAAAUUGAGUGCACAAAAGGAUGGCACCCAAAGGACUUCAAGUUGAUGAGGACCCUGCACUCCAGACAUGCAAUCUUCAGGUCACGUUCGGAUGUUAAUUAGCAUCUGAAGGAGAAACAAAAAAAACAAAAGCACUCAGAAAGUAAUGUUUAAACCACCAUAUACCUGUCAGCGUAACACACCCUCUGUACUGUUUAACACUGGAAUCUCGCCGUGAUGCUCGUGUCACUUUCCGUACCGCUUGUUGCGCAUUAAAGAAGUCACUCAGCUGUGCUGCCAUCAGUGUUCAUUAAUUCAUACAGAACCCCGAGGGAAUCGCUUAUUUCUGCUAUAAAAUUAAUGGAAAGUACUGAAGGUAAGGCUGCACAGUGUAGCAUCCUCAGUGUAAAGGGCUGAGCCCCAUCCCUGGGGGCGGAGAGCACCCUCUGGCUCUGGUUCCCUGUCUCGGGAUGCUGGGAGCUGUCUGGUUUGCUCUUUUGGAAGGGCCGCCCUUCAUCAUCCCUUUGCUUGUGUUUAUUCCUCACCUGAUUGAAAUAGACCCAACUGGGUUCCAUGUUUACGUUCUAGGACCAGCUCUUCAAUAACAUCCCAGCCACAGAGAAGUUUAAAAUAGCCUUACCUCCUCUCAGUGUCAGGAAGAGCUCUGUCAGCCCUGGUGGUGGGGAGGAGCUGGGCCCAGCUAUUCUUAGCAGCAACCUCUUUCCAGCCUAUAUAUGGGAGCUGGAGGCCAC